RNAcentral lists this long non-coding RNA (2877 nucleotides) under Nicotiana benthamiana. RNAcentral's name for it is "long non-coding RNA (NBEN_LNC031914)". Lineage: Eukaryota; Viridiplantae; Streptophyta; Magnoliopsida; Solanales; Solanaceae. The record is from RNAcentral.
UUUAACUUCAAUAACUUGCAAUCUCCCUAUUACAAGCCACUUUGCAAUAACCCUAUUACAAAGACUUCAACUAGCUUGUGAUUCUAUCACCACAAGCCACUUUAUAACUCUCCUAGUUACAAAAGCUUUAAACUUAUGACUAUUCCUAGUCACAACGUAAACUCAAAGCUUCUAAGAAAGUAAACUAGGAAAUACAAUGAAGAGCAAAUAACAAGAUUACAACUCAACUAUGAAUGUACAUAAACUCAUUAAGAAACUGAUCCUUAGUGGACUUGUCUUCUUGUUCUUGACACACAAGUGACUUCACUGCCGAAUGAACAUUGUUAUGUUUGAGAGAAUAUCACCGAUUGCACAAAGAUAUUGUGCCUUGUACCAGGUUGUUAUAUCACAAAAGACAUCACCAUAGAUAGAGGCAUGAUUUUUAUAUGAUAUGCAGAAUUACUAUAUACAUGGUUUCUAUAUGUAAGAAUGCAGAAAUUCAGAAGCAAACCCUAUAGACAGGAUAUCUACUAUUAUGCAUACAUAAAGUAAACCCCCUCCCUUUCCUUUACUAAAGCCCCAUAAGAUUUAAAAAUUAUUACAGGCCAACUGGAUCAAACUGGAAACAAAUUACAUUAGAAAUUACAGCUACAUCCAAAUAGCCUAAUUCAGACUUAAUAUCUAACAACAUGAGAUGAACCAAACUUCUGGGAUCAAGAUUUCCAAGGCUUCUUUCUUGUCUGUAGUGCAUCAAAGUUACAAGGAAUCUCAAGGACCCCAGGAAAUGCUUACACCCAGAUAUCAUCAAAGAACUGAACUAAAGUUCAGUGUAGAAGGGUCACCCAUCAAAUGUCCAAGUUCAGAGGGAGCUCAUGGCAAGCCUCACAAAAGGGGGAAAAGGGCUUAGAUUCUAGGAACAAGUGUAAGUGCAAUAGAGGGGAUCAAGGGAUGCCAAGGUAGGAUGGUGGACAUCCCCAGUAACAUAGAGUACUAGCACAACCUUAACCAAACCUGUUGGCCAAACAUUAGAGGGUAAGGACCUAUUGAAGGUCAAACCAUGGCUUGGACAGUAAUUGAAUAUUGUCAGGCCAAAGCUUCAACUCAGCACAUAGCAAGGGAAUGGGGGAUGGGAAAUUGAUAAGAUCUUAGGACCCAAAGGGUCCAGUUCGUAUCCAUGGACAAUAACUUCAGAUAUAUUGCCAUGUUUUUUAACCAUAGCUCCAAACACAUAGGGGGUAUAUAGGAAAGGGAUCCAUUACAAAAUAUAAGCACACUGCACAAAGAUUAAAUUCUUCAGACAUUAUAAUAAACAUGGACGUAAGAACUGGUAAGUAAACACAUUAGAGUUAAGGGUGAAAUUAGAACUAGAACAUACCAAUUUGAGAAAGAGACAAGAAGAAAGCAUAAAUCUUGUAACAGACCACAAUACAAACAGCAAAAGAUAUAUUUUGUAUGUGAGUGUGAGUUCAGAAAGACUCGAGUGUUGGUUGUUUUUUGUGUUAAGAAAUGAGCAGGUAUUUAUAACAUUUCAAAACGAGUGAAAAAGAGGAAAUAAAUCGCAAACAUGGGAACAAUCCCAUUCAGAAUCAAUUAUACGAGUGACUGCCCUUAAUUAAGGGGGUCAAUUGCUUAACGGGCAAUGACAUGCUCAAAAUAAGGAAAACAAUCAAUUAAAAAGUAGGCUGACAAUUAUCAUAAGAGAAGUAGAAAAUAACAAGUAAGCAAUCGAGUCUAUGUGCGGAAGAAUUCAUAUUUGGAAAGGAUUUAGUAAGGUAAAAUAGGAAAAGAAAUCAAUUAUCCCUAAUAGGCGAGUAAAAUCAGAAUUUCAUAUAGGAAAGGGUUGAAAUCAGUCACACAUUUGACAAGCCAUCAAUGAAGGAGUUUCAGCAUAUAAAUAAGGUGCAUAAACAUCAAACAUGCGAGGCUGAAUUUAAGACAAAGGAAAAAUAUGUCCAAAUCAGGGAGUAGUGGUCUAUAGGAACAUGUUAGUCAUCUUAGAGAGGAAGAAAUAGCAUACAAAAUUCAAGUAAAAGGUCUUAUAGAGUUUAGUAAAAAAGUUGAAGCAAAGAUAGCAGUAGGUGAGACAACUUCAAAACUCAAAUAAGUCCAAGAGAUUAGGGUUUUGAUAUCAAAACAAGUUCAGAUAUAAGAAGAAAAUCACGUAUCAAGUGGCCUCAAGAACUCGAAUGGAACCCCAAAUUCUAGGGUUUCCUACCGUUAAUCGAGCCUAGAGAUGAAAACAAGUGAAUCAAGCAGAAAUAACACGAAAUAAGUUCAGAAAUCACAGAAGGACCGUGACCUUUAACAUGUAUUUCCAGAAUAAAAAAUAAUAAAUGAACAAUCGUGCAAAAUACAGUAGGGGAAAUCAUGAGAACAAAGUAUAAGAAAAUAUAGUAGAAGAAAACACAUAAGAAUCACAGUAGAAUAUGUAAAAUCAGAUAAACCCUAAGUCAGAGAAGAUGAAAGGUUUGAAAGCAAAUUUUGAAAGAAACAUUGGGAAAUCAUUGAAACCUUAAAAUAAACACAUAUCUAAAGAAAUCAGGAUAACCUAGAAAGGCUGGGGUUUCAGAAGAACCCUAGAAGCGAGAAAGCCUGGAAAAAUCACUAUCUAAACCAGAGGAUGUCGCAAUCAGGCUCAGAAGACCAAGAGCCCUCGGAGCAAAGGCCGGAGAUGGCUGAUAUCUUCAAAUAGAUGAAGGUCUGAGUGAAGACCCUCGAGAUCAGACCUCGAUCCUUCAAACGACGGGAAUGAAGGAGCCAUAGGAGGCAGGUACACGUCUUUAAUGGCUUUGGCAGCCAUGGAUUCAGGCGGUUCUGGGUGCUAACCGGAGGGAGGCGGCUAGGGUUAAGUUUUGGUAUUAGAGAGAAUCAGAGAAGAAGUGGGAUUCAAGGGCGGUG